RNAcentral lists this long non-coding RNA (30228 nucleotides) under Citrus x clementina. RNAcentral describes it as "Citrus clementina (C. clementina) long non-coding RNA (CCLE_LNC000499)". The record is from RNAcentral. Lineage: Eukaryota; Viridiplantae; Streptophyta; Magnoliopsida; Sapindales; Rutaceae.
AGAGAAUUUCGUCAAGGUACUAUAGUAGUAUCGAAUGCUCUUUGCUAGUGUAAACUAUUUGUGCCACGUGUAGUAUUUCAAUCUUCACAAGUGGCAUUGCAUAUAGUGGCUCUUAUUUCAGUUCCUCAAAGGCACUCUAGAGGUACGUUAGCUUAUAAGCUAGUAUUUGGUCAUCAUGUGCUUCUUUUAAUGAAACACGUGGUUCAUUUUGUCCUCAUACGAGAGCAUUUUGUGUGGAAUAACCUUGUAAAAUGCUCAUUUAUCAAGGGCACAUGUUGUGUUGUUGGAACAUAGUAAAAAUAUGAUACGCUAACCCAUGUGCAUUUAUGAAAAAUCAAAUGAAAACAAAGAACUAAAAAAAAUGCAAAGGCUAAUUCAUAAUGUUUGAGUUUGAGAUGAUUAAUAUUUAAUUUUAUGGUUGCAAAGAUAAGAAUAAAAGUAGGUCUAGUGAGAAAUACCCUCAUAUUAUAAUACUAUUUAAAAUAAAUUUUGUUAUAAAAGAUUUUAUUUAAUAAGGUAUGGAGACUGUUCAAAAUAUAUUUUACGUACAAACUCAUAUGUUUGACGUGAUAGUAUGUCCCAUGCUAGGACUAGCAAUGGUCAAAUCAACCUAUUUCGAUAAGAUCCAUCAAAAUUAAUAUUUAAAAAAUUUAUCAUCUCAUUAUACAAUACACAGCUUUGCCAUCUAGUAGAGAAUGAUUGGUUGGCACACCAUAGUUUACACGAAUAUUUCUAAUAUUUGAAUCGUCUGUUAGAAAAUUUUAAUCCUAGCAAGAUCUUGUAAGUAAAAAUAUCAAAUAAAUAGUAAAUAGAAAAUAUACAGAGAAUAAAACCAAUCAUACAACACAAUAAUUUACGUGAAAAAUUCUUAUAUUGAAGAAAAACCGCAGUCGCCAAAGAUGACAAAAGAAAAAUCUACUAUUUAAAGAUCAUUACAAUUACUUUAAUAUUUUCCUCACAUAAAAAACCCCAAUAACAAAUAAUCUCUCAUUUCAGAAACUGUCUACUUGUAUAGAGCUGAUUGUUGUGUUAUUUAAAUAAGUGAAUCUAACCUUUCGUAUAUAUUGUGAUUAUUUUAUAUUGGAGAAAUAUUUAUUUCCUUAUAUAAUUUGUAUUUCUCCUUUAAUAAGUUCUUUGGCAUUACUUAUUCCUUAAACAUGAACCCCCCCCCCCCCCCCGGAACAAGAAAAUUACUAAAUAAAAAAAUUCUAGGAAAUAUCCUAAUUUAGGAUUUACAAAUCUUCAUUGAAAAAGGAGAUAUGUUUCUUAAAAAUCUCCACUUUGGUGAGUUUUUCAAUUAAGUGACAAAAUAUAAUCCGCCAUACAUCUAUGCAACCAUGUCGUCUCCCCCUUAUUUAGUCUACCAAAACCACACUAACAUAAGACUAAUGAGAAUCACUCCACCAUGGGUAAAAUCUUGUCCUCUAUCCAGCAGCCAUAAUUUUCUACAUCGAGAAUCAUCAUACUCCACAUUAUCCAGAGUACACAUGUUUUGUAACACUCCAAAAAUUACCCACGAAAACACAAGGAUAAAAUUGGAAUGAAACUUUACAUCAUUUAUUCUUAUUAAUAAAUCUCAAGAUAGACAAUUAUUCAUACUCCAACUGAAUCCGUACAUAAAACAUCUGAAAUAAAGUCUAUAAAGAAAAGUCUCUAGUCCAAAAUAAAAAGUCUAGCCAAAUUCACUCUUGAAAGCAACUCCAAAGAUCCACUAAGAAAAAUUCUCCAUUUAAGCACCCAAGCCACAUUUCUAAUCAAUCUGCAAAAUAUUGGAGACGAGGGGUGAGCCGUCAACUCGGUAAGCAAAUCUAUGCACAAUAUUUGAAAACCUUGUAAGUUUACCUUUAAAUAUUUUAUAACAACAUCUUUAUUUAGCAUAAGGGGUGGAUUCAUAUAAAAGCAUUAAAAACAUUAAAACAUUCAUAAAAACGUUAAAACAUAAACAUUAGUAGCUCAUGCCUCGUAGUCAUCAUUAUUCAUCAUUCAUCAUUUAGGGUGUUAUACCCCGCAUUUUUCCUCAUUUAGGGUACUAUACCCCACGUUGUUCAUAAUAUCCUUGUGCACCAGAUCAUCAUCAUACCAGCAAGUUGGCCUUAGCAUUUCAUAACAUCAUAACAUUAACAUCAUAUAUAUUACUACAGACUAUGAGCCAAAACAUUUUUGAAUCCACCUUACAUCUUUUCAUAAAUAGCAUUUAAAGUCUUCUAAAACAUUUAAUUCUUUUAAAAAAUUCUUUAAGAAAACAUUUAAUUUUAAAAAAACUAAUUUCUUAAGAAAAAAUCAUUUUAAAAUACAUUUAUAUAAAUUCAUUUAGAAGCGUUUUUAUUUUACAAAAUUCAUUUAAAUAUUUUAGAAAUCAGUUUUGUAAAAAUCUCUAUUUAAACAUAAUUCGUAUUUAUUAUAAAGGACAUCAUGCAUGAAUCUACUUAUCUUGAUCCAUAUCAAUCAAUUCAAUACCUUAAGAAUAACCAACGAGCUCACCCAUGUCCUAUAAUUAUCAUAAAAAUAUUCUUAUCAAUAUCAUCUCUAACCUUAAACAUAAUCCCAGUCAUCCUUAAAUCAUAGGCACUUAUACUAGCUUAAUACUUAUACAUAUUCUAAACAUAUCCUAUACUUAUGAGUAUCAUGUACAUGCUGAUUUUUAAUAACCUAUACACAUGUCGGAAAACCAUGAAAAUUUACAGAGGCACUGUGAACAUGCAUAGCAUUGCAUACAAUAUUUCACAAAAAUCAGCACAAGUCAAAAUCGAGUCAGAAUAUUGACCUUUCACCAAAGUAACAAAAUUGUCCAGCACUGAUCAAAACAGACAUUUUCCACUUAUAAAAUUCAUAAAAUUUUCUUUAGUACUCGAAAUAAUAUGUUUCUUUUUUUGAAUCACAGAAGAAACAUUCAGAAAGCACUAAUUAAAUUUCAUAAUUUUUGGACUCCUGAAACUAUUUUAAAACGUUUUAUUUCCAAGAACAUCUAACCCGUCCAGAAAAUCUCAGAGUUGAAAACAGAAUUUCAAACAUUCGUAUCUUUUAUUUUACAUGCCCAAAAAUCACGAUUCCAUUUUUUAAAGAUAGAGGAAAGAUUGAAAUUUCAUUAUAAAAUCCUAACAUGACAUGUAAUAUUCAUAAACUAGCCCAACUGUUAUACGUUUCAGCUUCUGCAAUUCUGGAAAACAGUUUUCAGAUUUGCAGCAGCCACAUGUUACGGUUUUUAAUAAUUCAACCAUAAAGAAUAAAACUACGAAAUUACACAUGCAAGCAUAGGAGACAUAGAUCUGUUGAUACAAAAAUCGCCAUAAUUUUUAAGGAUGUGUAACCUUAUAGAAAAAUUUCCAGAAUUGAGAACCGCUGCUGAAAAUCGGAAUUUUCCAGCACCAGUAACCCAACUUCGAAAACCCAUAACAAUUUGCAUAAUCAGACGAUUUCAACACAAAACCUAUCAAUGGAAAGCUUAGGAUGUCUAGUUCCAUGAUAUGUAAGCAUAUUCAUGUGAUUCUAAAUAAAGAAAACGCUUUCAAGCAAGGAAUAGAGGCUGUUCAUAUCAUCACAACAUUACAAACACGCAUAUAUUACCCAAAUCAUACUACAAGUAAUUAAAGGCAAACAAUUCAAAAAAAUAAAUCAUAUAAGUCUAAGAAAUAUUUAGUACCUUAAGGAAAACACUAAGGUGGCGUUUGUUUUUUAACUUAAUGACUUAAAGUGACUUAACUUAAUUAAUUAAGUUAAUUAAAGGUGUUUGUUUUUAUAACUUAAUGAGACUUUUUAGAUAAUUUUGACUUAAUAAAAUAAGCCAAUUUUUUUAGCUUUUUACUUAAUGGAGAAAUCUGAAUUAAGUCAAUUACUUACUAAUGUCAAAAAUAUCCUUGCUUUAUAAUUUAUUUUUCAUGUUUAUCCCAAACUCAUCCAUAGACAUUUACCCUACAUAAAAAUAUCCAUGUUUUUCUUUCUUAUAUUAUAUACGAUAAAAUUUAAAAUUUAUGGUAUUUUAUCUAUUAAAAUUCUAAAAUAAUUAUGUAUUUACUUGAAUUUAGUUUUACUUAUAAAUGUUAAAAUAUUGUGGCAUUUAAUAUAUUAUUUAUUUGACAUUCAAAUUUAAUAAGGAUACAAAUGUAAAAGUACAUAUUUUUAACUUUUUAAGUUGAAAAAAACAAACAACUUAAUACUUAUUUUCUGAGAUUCAGACGAAAAAAUAAACAUAUUAUUCAGAUUCAGACAUUCAGAUCUAUUCAGAAUUCAGACUAAUUCAGGUAUAUUCAGAUUUUAGAUAAAAAAACAAAUGCCACCUAAAAAAAGAAAGUUAUAAAACUUUCUUUUCCUUCUCCAAAGACUUAUGUUUCUUUUUUUUUUUUCUUUCUAGAGUUUGUAACGGUGUAGAAAAUAAAAGACGACUUCCUCUUAAAUACUUGUCAAUUAAUAAAUACUUUUAAAAAAAAAAUUAAUAACUUACAUAAUUUAUUUAAAGCAAUUUGAUAAAUUUUACCCACACACAAACACUCAAUAAUAAUUAUCCUACUCAAUUUUGAUAAGGGUAAAAGUAGAAAAAUAAAUAAAUAAAUAAAAGUGGGCGUUACAUGUUUGGCAUAUGUCGAUGACAUUUCUAAAAUUACCCACUCUCAUGUUUGGCUUUUUUGAGAGUCCUCAUCAAUCAACAUAAAAUUUCAUCUCAUACCUUGCAUAAAUACUAAACUAGGGGUUGUGUGCAUAUCUUGUGGACCAAUUAGCAAUAACACAUCCUCUUCACGAAACACCAAUAGAUGUCAUAAUUACUAUCUCUUUCUGUUGAUUUAGAACUACUUUCCAAAUUUGCUAUAUUCCAACAAUCUCUUUUAAGAUGUUUUGAUUACCUACACUCGUCCAAGGGUUUCUACUAGUGGAAUAGGCCUUACAUUGUUCUUUGCUUUACUUGUACAGACAUAUUGAAUCAUUACGUUAUUGAUUUGAGCUUCCCAUAAGCAAACAUUGAUUAUUCUGUCAAACUUUUUCGUUUCUAUCUUCAUAGGUUUUGAAAACCUCCUUGUUGCCAUAUUUGCUCUACAUUGCAACCUUAGCUCUAUUAUCACCUACUAAGAAAUAAUUAAUCCCACUUAAGAUUCGUAAGAAAAAAUAUCAAAUAAAUAGUAAAUAUAAAAUAGAUAGAAAAUAAAGCCAAUCAAAUAAUACAAAAUUUACAUGAAAACUUCUAUAUUGGAGAAAAACUAUAAUAGCCAAGGAUGAUAAGAGAAAAAAUUAUUAUAAUUACUCUAGUAUUUUUUUAACACCUAAAACACCAAAAGCACCUAAUCUCUUAAUAGAACUAUCUUUUCUCUCGCAGUAAAAACUAUUUACUUACAGACAAUCGAUUGUUAUAUUAUGCAAAUAAGUAAACCUAAUCUCCAUAUAUGUGUGUGUGUGUGUGUGUGUGUGUGUGUGUGUGUGUGUGUCUAUGUAGGUAUGUAUGUAUAUAUGUAUGUAUGUGUAUGUAUGUGUAUAUAUAUAUAUAUAUAUACUCACACAUAUAUAGAUACCUACAUACAUACAUACAUACAUAUAUAUAUGUACAUGUAUGUACAUACAUACAUAAAUACAUACAUACAUACAUACAUACAUACAUACAUACAUAUACACACACACAUACAUGCAUACAUACAUACAUACAUACAUACAUACAUACAUAUAUGAUUUGUAUUCCUCUUUGAAUAAGUUAAGUUCUAAAGAGAAAAUUACUUAUUUGUUAAAUAUGAAUUAUCUUCAAUAAGAAAACUGAAAAGUGUAGAAAAUUCCUAAUUUAGGACUUAAAAAUCUUCUUUGAAAAAAGAGACAUCUCCCAAUAUCCUCAAAUCCUCUUUACAAUGCCACCAAAUCUCUUUUGUGACUAGCCCGGUUGAAACUUUUAAUUAAUGGGCUGUAAUUGCCAAUAUCCAAAAUAUCCAAAUAAAACAAAUUUCCAUAGGUAUAUUGGUAGAUUGAAUGACAACUAACAACACGUGAUUUGAUUAACUUAUUUCCAAAAAAAAAAGAAAAAAAAAAGAUACAAUGGAUGAACAUAAGACUCUUGUGCCAACUCAUGGAAUUCAUCAAUAAGGCCUUGGCUGAUCCACCUCAUGACUAGUAGAGUUCAAACCCCCGCUAAAUAGUAAAAAAACUAUUUGGAUUAUUAAUUACUCUUUCUUAAGUCUAUUUAAACUUAACUUUAAGAAUUAUGAACGUCUACACUUUAAUUAAAACAAUACAAGCCCACCCGUUUGUAUUUAAAAUUUUGUUUGAAUUUAUUCACGAGCAACAAGAAUAGUAUAAAUGGAAAAAAAAACCAUCAAAUAAUAUCCCAUGACUCUGUUUCUUCAAUUUCAGGAGCAAUGGUGGAAUCAUAUUUUCCGAUUGAAAAACUUUUGGAAAAAUUAGUGAGCUCUACUUGUGAAGAACUUUUAUUGUUCUACGGUGUCAAAAAUGACUUAUAAAAAUUAAAGGAGACGUUAACCACUGUCAAAAGUGUGGUUUUGGAUGCUGAGGAAAAGCAAAUCCAUAAUCACCGGUUAAGCGAUUGGCUGGGAAAGCUUAAAGAUGCUUGUUAUGAUGCAGAAGAUGUGUUGGAUGAAUUUGAGGUGGAAAAUCUACGAAGGCAAGUCAUGAAGCAAAGAAGCAUCGGAAGAAAGUUUCGUAACUUUUUUGGAAGCUCAAAUCCGAUAGCUUUUCGUUUUAGAAUGGGCCAUCAAAUCAAGAAAAUUCGAGAGAGAUUUGAUGAGAUUGCAAAAUUGAGGGGUGAGUUUAAUCUCAUUGAACGACUUGACGAUCAUCAGCGAGUUGUGCACAAAGAAAGGGAACCCACUCACUCGUUUGUGCUUUCAUCUGAUAUUAUUGGAAGAGAUAAAGAUAGAGAGAAGAUUAUUGAACUAUUGAUGCAAACAAGUGACGGCGAAAGUGAAACUGUGUCUGUGGUUCCUAUUGUGGGACUUGGAGGUUUGGGCAAGACUGGACUUGCAAAAUUGGUGUACAAUGAUCAAAGGGUAGAAGAGCAUUUUGAGUUGAAAAUCUGGAUAUGUGUUUCUGAGGAUUUUGAUGAGAAACAACUUAUGACAAAGAUUAUCAAGUCGAUAACUGGUCAAAACCAAGGUGACUUGGAUACAGACCAAUUGCAACGAACCUUGCGAGAUCGUUUGAAUAGUAAGAGAUACUUGCUUGUUAUGGAUGAUGUAUGGAACGAAGAUCCUGAAGCAUGGCGUAAAUUAAAAAGCUUAUUGUUGGGAGGUGCUAACGGAAGCAAAAUUUUGGUAACCACACGUAGCAGGAAGGUUGCUUCAAUCAUGGGCACGAGGGGAGGUACUACUGGCUACAACUUACAAGGUCUACCAUUCGAGGAUUGCUUGUCUUUGUUUAUGAAAUGUGCAUUUAAAGAAGAGCGAGAUAAACAUCCAAACCUUGUUAAAAUCGGGGAAGAAAUUGUGAAAAAAUGUGGGGGAAUUCCUCUGGCAGUCAGAACACUAGGAAGUCUACUAUAUGACUCAACGGAUGAACAUGAUUGGGAAUAUGUGAGGGAUAAUGAGAUAUGGAAGUUAGAGCAAAAGGCAAAUGACAUUUUACCUGUUCUGAGGUUCAGUUAUGAUCAACUACCGCCUCGCCUGAAACAAUGUGUUGCUUAUUGUUGUAUCUUUCCAAAGGAUUUUGAAUUUAGUAGUUAUGCUUUGGUUCAAUUUUGGAUGGCUCAUGGUCUUCUCCAAUCGCAUAAUAAGAAUGAAGAGUUAGAAGAUAUUGGUAUGCGGUACGUGAAGGAAUUACUAUCAAGAUCUUUCUUCCAAGAUUUGACUAUUGGGAUGUUAGGAAUGGAGACGUUCUCUUUCAAAAUGCGCGACCUUAUGCAUGAUCUUGCUCAGCAAGUGGCCAAAGAUGAAUUCCUAGUAGUGAACUCUGAUUGUCAAUCUAUUCCCAAAAGUGUCCGUCAUUUGUCAUUUGCUACUGCUAAUGCAUCGAGAAAUGACUUUUCAAGCCUUUUAUCUGAUCUAGGUCGUGUGAGAACCAUUUUCUUUUCACCUGAUGAUGAGAAGACAAGCCAAUCAUUUGUUGAAUCAUGCAUCUCAAAGUCGUAGUUCCUGAGAGUGCUAGAUUUAAAUGGCUCUGCUAUUGAGGUUUGUCCCAGAAAGAUGGGUAAUUUGAAGCACAUGAGGCGUCUUGAUCUGGCGGGAAAUUCUAAAAUCAAGAAACUUCCAAAAUCCAUUUGCGAGCUACAGAGUUUACAAACACUGAAUCUUGAAGGAUGUCUGGAGCUAGAAGAGUUGCCUAAAGACAUAAGGUACCUUGUUAGUCUCAGAGUGUUAGGGCUAACCACAAAACAAAAGUCUUUGCAAGAGAGUGGAAUAAGGAGCUUGAGUUCUCUUCGUUGGUUGUCAAUUUCUAAAUGCAGGAAUUUAGAACAUUUGUUCGAGGAGAUAGAUCAAUUAUUGUCCUUCGAACAUUAUUAAUUGCUAAUUGUCCUCGUCUAAUCUCAUUGCCACCUGCUAUCAAAUAUCUCAGCUCAUUAGAGACUCUGAUGUUGUGGAAGUGUGAAAGCCUUGAUCUUAAUCUGAACGUGGAAAUGGAAGGUGAAGGAAGUCAUCAUGAUUGCAAAGACACAAGGCCUCACCUUUGGAGGGUUUUCGUUGUGGAAAUAACACUGUUAUUAGAACUGCCGCAAUGGCUUCUUCAAUGUUGUACUGAUACUUUACGGAACUUGGUUAUUGGAGAUUGUCCCAACUUCAUGGCACUGCCAGGGUCUCUAAAAGAUCUCAAAGCUCUUGAAACUCUUACCAUUCUAGGAUGUCCAAAAUUGUCAUCGUUGCCGGAGGAUAUGCAUGACGUCACAACUCUGAAAUCAUUGACCAUUGCAGGAUGUCCUGCACUGAGUGAAAGAUGCAAACCGCCAACAGGUGAAGAUUGGCCCAAGAUUGCACAUAUCCCUCAGGUUCAUCUUGAUGGCGAGAUGAUUGAAUCAAGUGAUAAUUAGGUAUGGAUUUUUUUUUUUCAAUAAGCGUACCACUCUGUUAUAUUUCCUCUUUUCAUGCAGCUUUCUAAUUUUUAAUUUCUCAUACAGCUAUACCGUUUAUAGUUUAAUGUUUUGUUAUGUUUACCAAACGAAAACUUGACUUUGAACGUUAGUUAGUUCAAUCAAAUUUGUACUAAUUUAUUUUCUUCUAAUACAUAAUUAUUUUGUCGGUACGAAAAACAAAAAUAAUAUUUUGGAAACCGCACUGUUCUCGGGGUCAGAUCUGUUUCUAAAUUCAAACAGUUCAGGAUUUUUCAAAAUGGAACUUAUAAUGAGAUUUUUUUUUUAAUUAUCUAGUUAUCUUCAUAUGGAAUUUCAAUCUUUGUUAAUACUUUAACUUGCCCCGAAACAUCUGACUAUUCUUCCUCUUGUCCUUUUUUUUUCCCAAAUAUUGCAGCUUUCUUGGGAGAGGUUCAACCAAACUGCAGGGACAGUGAAAAUAUUACUCUAAGUUACAAGUAUUAUAUAUUCGUUACGUGUGGUUAUGUAAUUUGCUGAUAAAUAAGUACAUUGAGUGAGGUAUAUGUGUGUGCCUGUGUGGUCAUUACUGAAUUUCUCAGUAAUAUAAUUUGCAUUGACUGCAGAUUUGUGAAGAACAUUGAUUCCAAACAUGUGGUGUCUGUAUUUUGUGCUUUGUGAUUGACGACUUACAUUUGCCCAGGAAGAAAUGAAAACAAAUCGGCUUCUUGAAAUUAACCAUUUAUUCUUUCGAAUGGUAACCUUUUUGUGACAUGAUUCGCAUAUUAAUCAAACGUAGUUGGCAAACUAAUUAGAUAUUGCAUCGUGAUUCGUGGCCUUGAAGUGAAAUGAGUGUUGGUGCUAAUUAGCAAUGUAACUUGUUUUGAUUAAAAUUCAAUGACUUUCUUCGUAUUAAUCAAAUUAAUUAAUAAAUUAUUUUGGUAAAAAGAAUUUGCCAAUUUUGUGGCGGUCUUGAGACCCUUGACGGUGGUGAAAUUGAUUCACGGUUUCAAAUGAAGACAUGCAGCGGAUGCGUGCGUGCCGUAUGACAUCGAUGAAAAAGUAAAGAGUUUGAUUUCUCUAUUUUACCCUUAAUUAAUCGUUGACGUCUAAUUUUACACUCCCAACAAAUUUGAAUGAAACAAUCCUAAUGUUCACUUUCUUCUUCCAUUUCAUUUUACGACUUAACAAAAUCUCGCAACGGAGAUGCUCCUGAUGAGGAGAAGGAGAAGAAGACACAGCGAGUUCGCAAGAACGUGUACAGAGGAAUAAGGCAGAGGCCAUGGGAGAAAUGGGCAGCUGAAAUUAGAGACCCUUACAAGGGCGUCCGCGUUUGGCUCGGCACAGCCGAAAAAGCUGCAAGAGUUUAUGCUGACGUCGCCAAGAAUAUCCGUGGCUCGACUUUGCUCACCGGCCGCCAGUAACUCCACCUCCAGGUAAGAAACGCUUCGUGCUAUCCCGUGAGUUGACUCACCCGAAUUUCGGAGAUUACUUUUUUAUUGGUUUUCAUUGAUUUCUUUUCCUGCUCUUAUCUACGAGGUUGUGCUUUCCCUUGGAUGCCCUUUAAUAAACAGCUUUCUUAAUAACAACUGAAGCGAAAAGUCAUUUUAUCAAAUGAUUUGGUGAAAUUUCAAGUACUUUCAUCUUGGUUUAUGCAGUUAAUAGGAAAUAGUUUGGUGUUGGGAUGUGUUAUAUGUAUCAAGUUCUUAUUGCUGGUUUGUUUCUCAUAAUCGUUAUCCAGUCAAAGCAAACGUUCGCCUCUCACAUUGACGGUUAGGCUAGAUGUUUGACCCUGAAUAAGAUGAUUGAGUUUAUUAUAGUCUUCUUAUAUUGUCGGUUCAAUAUCAUUUUGAAAUAUCACAUCAAUUCCGCGUUUGGAGUUUUAAUCCAUGCCCAGUUACACCUUUAUUUUACUUUUAAGCUGCAACAUUGAGUCACAUUCUUUUUCUGUUAUUAUUACGAUUAGCGACUGGUACAGUGGUAUUUGAACUGCAUAGCGUGUCAACUUUCACUCUAAAUGUCUUAGAAACUCUGUCUAUCACUAAUUUCCUAGAACAGGCCUCGUUGACAGUCAAAGAUUUGAGGCGUAUUUCUGGACUGAAGGCUUUUCUCUAGUCAAUUUGAUGAUAAGCGCAUUUAUUAUCUCCAGCAUUAAGCAGUAAUUUGUAACUAGUAGUAGCCAGUACCUAAGAUGUUGCAUUUGACUGUCUUCUCUUUCUGGUUCAGUUUCGACCUUUGGAGCUGUUUUAGACAUGGUAACGGAUAGGUAAUUUCUCUCUACCCCACCCCACAAUGUAUCAUCAGUCAUCAUUCGUUGUGGUUGGUGGAGAUACACAUACUAAUUUGGAUUAUUGUCCGUGCCUUCGUCUUUUGUCAAUAAUCUUUUGCAUUUCAGGAUUAGUACAGCUUGUCUACUGGUAAUACUCUCUCAAGUAUACAGGGAAGACUUUGUUACGUUUUCUUGACCCGUAAUCUAAUGUUUUAAGAUGAAGGCAUAAUUGAGCUAUCUUGCAUCUCCAUGCAGGCCUGGUUUGGUUUUUGUGUCACUACCUGUAUUAGAUAUUGGUAGUCAAUGGCUGCAGAUGUACAGGUACCUUUUCGUUUCCCUGACAUAAUCUCAUGUUACAUGAAAUUGCUCGUGGAACUGGGAGAUUUUUUAUUUUUUAUUUUUUCAUAUUUACUAAAGAAAAGUGUUACUUUCGUUGGGAAAAAUGCCUACCACUCUUUAUCUCUGUUGCAGUACAUUCUUAACAGGAAAAACUCGACAUAAAGAUGCAAAAGACAGCACAAAUUGGCUUUUCAAAGCCUAUUAUGGGAACCGGAUGUUUAUGGGUUAUUGUUGUGUGGCGUGUGAGGUAAUUGUAGCUUUCCGUGUUAUUAUACAUAUCAGGAUUUGCAAAUGUUAUCGGUACUUUUUACCUGAUCCAACUGUUUCAACCCUGCAGCUUCUUUACCUAAUCCUAUUUCUUAUUGCGUAGAAGCAGAGGGAAAGCUUGGUGGAUGUAGGCUCUCAUUUUCUUACUAUUAGAUUGUUCUGAAAAUAGAAAUAUUUCCCCUGUUUCUUGAUUUUCAAACAAUUUCUUCUUUCAGGUUGUGGCGAGUGCUGUGCAACAGGGUUCGCCUCUUUCCUUCCUAGUUGCAUUGAGUUUAUUCGCAUGGGCGCAAUCAAGCAAACGAUUAAUGUCGGACAGGUAACUUCAACCCCAUAUGAUGGUAAUGUUCGUUUAAAUAAAUUUCUUGAUGUCUACAAAUUAAGGAAACCUUUGUAUGGGUAAAGUUGACAUUUUACACUGGCAUUAUGGGUCUUGAAAUCGGUCUGUUUUAGAUUCACAUGCUGUGAUAUGCUCUAAUGUUAAAACUCAAACCUCUUCUGCAUGUUAAAUGGAUUGUCGUGGAUAUGCCUGGGAUGAUCAUUUUCUUCGUUUUCACUCAUCGUCUUUGUCAUUGUAGUUAUAAUUGAUUGUGGAGAGUGAAAACGCACUGUGAUGAAUGAAUGCAAAAGCUAUGUAAUUAAGACUACAUUUAUUAGGUUGGUGACCACAAAUAAUCGGAAGGAUAUUCACAAUAGUGUUAUUGAAGCUCUAUAUGGAAUAAGGAGACCAAACCUGUAUGUGAUAAGAGUUGUAUGAAUACCAAAUGAAUUGUCAGAGGAUAUGGUUACUUUAGAUUGCAAUUUAAGAAUGCUUGAGUUCUAAAAGCACAGAAAUGGGAUCAGUUAGGGUAAACUCCUUCGUCAGUUAGUGAACUGUCCAUCAAAAGUAAAUAUUUAUGUGAUUGAGAGAAAUUUUGGAUUUUUGAUGAAAACAAAAAUCCUGUAUGCAUUUGCUUGCCCCCAAGGAGCUGAAGAUUCUCAAAUUGUUUGUAGACGUAAUAGUUCUUCUGAUAUCAUUUGGCUUGCUAAUCUUUCUUGCUCGAAAAUUUACCCGUUGUGUGGUCUUGAUGGUGGAUGAAAUUGAUGUGUGGUUUCAGAUGAAGACGGCAGCAGAUAUGUGUGUGCCAUAUGACAUCGAGAAAAAGCAAAAGCCUUAAAGAGUUCAUCAACAUUUUCCAUUCAGAAGAAUAUGUUUUGUGGUUUUCAAUAUAAUUGAAGAAAUGAUGUUUGUACUGAUGCAGAUGCAGGAACUUUACACAUCUUAAGUUUACGAGAUAUAUAUAUAUUUUUUUGACUCUGUUAGAUAGCUGUCAGUUAGUUAACCAAUUUAUGUUACUCUUCCUUGGCUAGCCAAUUAAGAACUUAUGUUUGCUGGAUUGUAAAGCCUACAUCUGGAAGCCACAGGUGAUUUUAUUUGAAGGCAAUUUGUACUAGGCUAUAUGCGGAUUUCUAUCUUGAUUUCUGUAUGCUUGAAGGAGAUUUUUUUAUGCGUGAGAGCUUGAAAAUUAUACAUGUACAUGUUGAAACUAUUGGAUAUAUGUUAAGAAUCAAGCAUAAUUGUGUCAAGAUGAAACCAUAAUUUGGGUGCUGUUUUAUGAGUAAACUAUCUGCAAUUUGGGUGCAGUAAACCUAGGUUGAAUACCAGGACAUGGUAUAAAAGUGAAAUCACACAUUGAAUCUCGCAUAAAGAUUUUAAAGAUGCAAAUUCGAAUUGUACAUGAGAUGUUAUCUUGAUCGAAUUGCAGCGGCUUUGUUUUGGAUCCAGAAAACAAAAUUGAAGGCAUAGAGAAGUCUCUAUGGGAUGCUUAUAUUAAGGUGCAUAAUGGCCUCAUUGAGUUUUGUGCUGUUGUUCUACGUUGUUUGAGUUUUGUGCUGCGGUUCUGUGUUGCUGCUUUUGCUACCGAUUUUGGCUAUUUUCUGCCACUCUGUUAUUUGCUAUUUUUUACUACUUUCGCUGCUGAUUUUUACUGUUUUCGCUGCUUUAGCUGUUGUUUUAUCUGCUGUUUUUUUUUACUGCUUUUAUUUUUUAUUUUUUCUGUUCUCUAUCGUGUUUUACCCACUGGUUGUCGCAUGUUUAUUAAUAUUGUUUGCUGCUGUUUGAUUUGCUGUUUUUUGCUGCUAAUUUUUUUUCCUGUUUUCUGCGGUUAUUUGCUGCCGUUACUGUUUUACUCGCCAGUUGAUGAUGUUUUGUGGUUCUCCUCCUCGAAUGCCUACUUUUUCCAGUGUGCAAGCAUAUCUGUUGAGAGUGGCUGAUGAAAUCACUAAACUGUUACAGUUGAUCUCAUGCUUCUCUAGAGAAGGAAUUAGACUUAUUUUGGUGAAGGGGUUUUUUCUGGUUUUUAUAUCAGUGUGUGCAUUUCUUCAAUCACGUAGCUUUGUGGCAUUACGAUCGAUAAUGGCUGUUAAGCGAAUAAAAGCACCAGGUCGGCCAUACUAUUAUUGCCACCCCGGCAUGGAUCACCUCAGCCCUGUGGUACGAGCAGAGCACAGGGGCACACAUCGACCAGAUGUUCAUAUCAAACCGAUAUACAUUCCCCAGAAAAGCGGGAACACGAUCCCACAGAAUCACUGCAGUUGCGCUUUGCCCAGAACCGUUGAAGGACACGGGAGAUCCCACGUUUGCCACAAUGCAACAAUCAGAGCCCCAUGAGGGGCGGCCACCACCCGAAAAAAGGGGGAUAGAGGGUAAGCGGAAAACGUGGGACAAACAGCGGCUAUAAAAGAAGAGGAAAUCGAUGAAGAAAAGGACACAGAAAAAUUGAGAGGGGAAAACGCUGCCAAAUUGCAACCAGGCCAUUUUCUUACAAAUUUCGAACAAACUUCUUGAAUCCAAAUUACAUUGUUUUCCCGUAAACACCUUGUACUAACUUAGGCAUCGGAGGGUUUACGCCGGCAAAACCACCGGCGUCUCUGAUCCGUUUUUGCUGAACGCAGGUCUAGUGAGAGAAAGGAGGGUGAUUCCAGCCUUAGCGGUUCGUGCAACAGUCGAUAUCUUAAACGUUGGUGGAAGAAUCUGGUCAGUCCAAGGACGAGCAGAUUUCGGCAUCAACAUUUUGGCGCCGUCUGUGGGGAGCUGGAUAAAAAGCUACCACCGAAUCAGUAGUUACCGGAGAAACAGCGAACGAUUAGAUAUGGAUGUGCCGAGAAAGGAUGCUUUGAGGGAGGAUAACGAAACUGUGGAGACAAUCACUCUCCGGGAAAUUGCAAAUGAAGCUUGGGAGAGGAUGAUGCAAGACCGAUUGGAGCGGAUGGAGAAACAAAUGGAGACUCUCGCGACCAUAGUGUAUGAGCUGAGGGAUGAGCGGAGAAAGGAUUGUGAAACCCCCGUGGGGAGAGAUGAUGUUGGAGCAGAACCCAGCUUCCGAAGGCGUAGAGUUGAGGAAAUCCCUCCGCCGGUAGACCAACUUAAUGGGGUGCAUCCCCACAGAAGCACUAGUCGGGCUUCAGGAGAACGAGUAGAUGAAGGGAGGGACCAACCUUGCCCCGGACGGGUACCGGAGAUUGAUGGCCGAGGGGCCAGUAUUGAUGAAGGAGAGCUCAGACAGCGGUUGCAAAAUGCCGAGCAGGAACGAGUUCAGAUAGCUGCGCGUGAUCCUGACCGUGCCGUAGAAUUGGAGGAAGAAGUGCGCAGAUUAGCGCAAGUGAUAGAGGAGAUACAGGGCAAGAGAAAGUCCCCGAGCUGGAGGAUAAUGCUAGAUGAAGAAUCUCCACUAUCAGCUGUGAUCAUGGGUACCAUAAUCCCAAGAGAUUUCCGCUUUCCCGACCUCAAAUACUCCGGGCGAAGUGAUCCAUUGGUGCAUAUUGAACGUUUCAACGACGUGACGGGUGUUCAAGGGUUAACACCAGCCCAGAGAUGUAGGGUGUUACCAUUGACACUGGAAGGACGAGCCGGAGAAUGGUACCGCAAGCUGUCACGAGGAAGUAUCAGAGGGUACGAGCAGAUGUGCCAAGAGUUGGCCGAACAGUUCCGAGGAGCAGUGGCCUCAGAGGAUGAUAUGAUGGAGCUAAUGGGAAUGAAGCAGGAGGAACAAGAAUCCCUUCGGGAUUUUGUAAAACGAUACCACCGAGCCGUGCUUGAUUUGGGGGCCUUCAAUCACCCGCAGGCGUUGAGGGGAUUAAAGGAGGGAGUGAGGAUAGGCCGGCUAUGGUAUAACCUGAGAAGUCCCUUGGUACAAAAUUACUCAGCGGGGUAUGAGCAGGCAAAGAGAGACAUUGAAAUCGAAGAGAAAAAGUCGGCGAGGAUAAAAAGUGAACAACUGGAGGAGCUGAGAAGAAAGGAAAGGAGAAUCCCGAGUGGGAGCGGAUCGGGAAAGCGAGCUGGGGAGUCCUCAGCUAUGGGCGGAAUAUCAGCUUGGUCCCGCCCUUACCACGUAGCUCCGAGACCACAACAGUUCCAACACAGCCGAGCCCAACCUCCGCGCACUUCAUUCCCGGAGCGGCAACGAGAAUUCAGGCAGAUGGCUGCCCGCCCUUAUUACAACGCUCCCAGAGCAUUACAUGCAAGUGGUUCCAGGGCAGGAAGACCAGACCAGCUAGCGACUAUACCAACCCGAGAUGACAUUCAGGAUAGCCGAGCAGUUCAACUGGUAGACCAGAGCUUGGCAUAUAGACAGUACACUCCAUUGAAGAUCUCAAUGGAGGAAUUGUAUGAGAGGAUCGAAGGACGAGGCCUGCUGUACCCGCCAGCCCCUAUAACAAAACUGGCUCACCGACGGGAUAAGAACAGAUUCUGCAAGUUUUACGACACUCAUGGUCACACAAUCGACCAAUGUCGUGACCUGAAGAUUCAGGUGGAGGACUUAGUACGGAACCGGUACUUGGAUGAGUAUGUAGAGGGGGUGUCCCCGAUCAUCGAAUCAAAGUAUAUACGGGAUGAAGAAGUUCAGAGGGGUUUGGAACGUGAACAGCCGACCAUCCAUGUGAUAGCUGGGGGGCCAACAUUGGCUGGGGAUUCGAACAGAGCACGGAAGAACUAUGGGAGAUACGCCAUGACUGGCAAAGAGGUGCUUCUAAAUUUGCCAGCGGCCAAGAAGGCGAAGGUACGGCAAGUUCCCAUUAUGUGGACGGAGGAUGACGAGGAGGGUAUUUUGUAUCCUCAUGAGGAUGCACUGGUGAUUAAAGCAUUGGUGGCUAGCACAGAAUUGCGGCGAAUACUGGUGGACACGGGCAGUUCAGUUGACAUUCUAUUUAAGUCAGCCCUAAAUGAUAUGGGGAUUUUAGAUUUAAAGCUGGAGCGGAUGAAUACAUCCUUAAAAGGAUUUGGAGGGGGACGGUUAACUCCCUUGGGGAUCAUUGAACUCCCGAUUACUGUGGGGACAAAGCCGUUUGAAAGAACGGUGAUGCUGGACUUCGUCGUGGUAGAGGAAAGAAGCCCUUAUCAGAUGAUAUUGGGGAGACCGUUCAUGAGGAUAAGCCAAUGCGUUGUAUCAACGCAUUAUUUGGCGCUAAAGUACAGAGUAAAUAAAGUGGUAGGCGUUGUAAAAGGCGACCAGAGGAUGGCAAGGAGCUGUUAUGCUACAGCAGCCAAGGAGACAUUAUAGGUUACUUCUCUGGAUAAUCGAGGAGAUUCUAAAAAGGGUCGCCAAGAGCCUGUUGAAAAGCUAGAAGAGAUUGUUAUAAGCAGAAGCAACCCGAGUAGAGUGGUUAAGAUCGGAUCAGGACUGGUCGGGACAGUAAAAGACGAGCUGGUAAAGUGCCUACAGUCCCAUGCAGAUAUAUUCGCCUGGUCUCACGGGGACAUGCCAGGAAUUGAUCGCAAGGUAGCUUGCCACAAGUUGACAAUCAAGAAGGGGGCAAGGCCGGUGAGACAGAAGAGGAUAUGCUUUAACCAGGAAAGGUACGAGGCCAUAAACACCGAGGUGGAGAAGCUGUUGAAAGCAUGAUUUAUAAGGGAGGCCAAGUACCCAGAGUGGAUUUCCAAUGUAGUACUGGUGAAGAAGGCCAACGGGAAGUGGAGAAUGUGUGUGGAUUUCACAGAUCUUAAUAAGGCGUGCCCGAAAGACAGUUUUCCUCUACCAAAGAUAGACCAAUUGGUGGAUUCGACAGCGGGUCACAGUCUGCUCAGCUUCAUGGAUGCCUUUUCGGGAUACAACCAGAUACCCAUGGACGAGCAGGAUGAGGAAAACACCACCUUUAUAACUAAUAUGGGUUUGUUUUGCUACAGGGUAAUUCCUUUCGGCCUGAGAAAUGCCGGAGCUACGUAUCAAAGGAUAGCGAACAAGAUCUUCAAGCCCUUGAUUGGACAUACUAUGGAGGUAUAUGUAGACGAUAUGAUCACAAAGUCCAAAGAACCGAGGGAUCACGUGAAACACUUGGAAGAAACCUUUGAAUUGUUGAGGAAGUAUGAAAUGAGGCUAAACCCGGAGAAGUGUGCAUUUGGGGUUAGCUCGGGCAAAUUUUUAUGAUUCCUAGUAAGCCACCGAGGGAUCGAGGCCAACCCGGAAAAAAUACGGGCGGUGAUAGAAAUGAGGUCCCCACGAACAGUUAAGGAGGUGCAGAGCCUUACAGGGAAGUUGGCAGCAUUAAACCGAUUCAUCUCGCGGGCCACAGAUAAAUGUCACCCUCUCUUCCAAACCAUAAAGAAAGGGAAAAAGAUGGAGUGGACAUCAGAAUGCGAGGAAGCGUUUGAGCAGCUGAAGGAAUACCUGACCCGGGCCCCAUUACUAUCGACUCCGAGAGAGGGUGACCAGCUGCUGUUGUACUUAGCAAUCUCUAAAUGGGCUACCAGCUCGGUAUUAGUCAGGGAAGAAGAAGGAAAGCAACACCCGGUAUACUACACGAGCAAGGCCCUGGUAGAUGCAGAAACUAGAUACCCAUUGAUGGAGAAGUGGGCGCUGGCUCUAAUAACGGCAGCACGAAAACUCUGACCAUAUUUUCAGGCCUAUCAGGUUAUUGUGAUGACCGACCAGCCGCUUCGGCAAACACUUCAAAAAUCAGAUGCAUCGGGUCGAUUAGUAAAAUGGUCCGUAGAGCUAAGUGAAUUUGACCUCUCCUAUAGGCCCCGAGGAGCAAUCAAAGUCCAAGCUCUGGCAGAAUUUAUGGUUGACCGAGCUGAUACAGGGGAAGAAAUUCGGGAGGAGCAACUAACAGAGCAGGAGAAGCCAGAGGGGGUGUGGUUGGUAAUGGUUCACGGAUCAUGUAGUGAGCAAGGAUCCGGAGCAAGAGUUGUAAUACGGAGCCCAGAUGGAACCGAAAUAACGUAUGCAGUGAAGUUUGAAUUUCAGCUCACAAACAACCAAGCUGAAUAUGAGGCCUUUAUCACCGGGCUCGGACUUGCACAUGCUCUAAGAGCAGAGAGGGUAGAAAUUCGAGCAGAUUCCCAACUGGUGUGUAAUCAGCUCAAUGAUCAGUUCGAAGCAAGGGGAGAGAAGAUGUGUCUUUAUUUGAAGAAAGCGAAGCAGAUGGUUGGGCUUUUCCAAGCGGUGGAGGUAAAGCAGAUAUCUCGGAAUGAGAAUUACCGAGCAGAUAUGUUGGCUAGGAUGGCUGCCAUUGCAGAUCCAAAAUUACCUAAGUCGGUUCCACUAGAGGUGAGGAUCUCACCAAGUAUAGAGGAAGAAGCAGAGGUUAUGAGAAUAAGUACUGGAGAAUCUUGGAUGGACCUGAUUCGCGCAUAUGUCCGCGAUGGAGUUUUACCAGAGGACAAAAGGCAAGCAAGAAAAUUAAAAUGCCGAGCAGCGAGGUAUACGCUACUGGAUGGAGUGCUGUACUGCCGAGGGUUCACCUUGCCCCUUUUGAGAUGUUUGGAUGAUGAGGAGGCGGAUUAUGUGCUGAGAGAGAUUCAUGAGGGAAUAUGCGGCAAUCACUCGGGAGCAAGAACUUUAGCCUUCAAGGCACUCCGACAAGGAUACUUCUAGCCAACCAUGCACCAGGAUGCGAAAAAGAUGGCAAAGAAUUGUAAAACAUGCCAAAGCUUCUCCGAGGUUCCUGCACAACCCUCGGAAAAGCUGACGGCUAUGACAUCCUCGUGGCCUUUCGCUCAAUGGGGAAUCAACUUGAUUGGUCCGUUGCCUAAGGGACGAAGAGCGGCGACACAUGCAAUUGUGGCAAUAGACUACUUCAUCAAGUGGGUGGAAGUGGGAGUCCUCAGCCAAAUCACAGAGAGAAAGACAAUAGAUUUUAUUUGAAAAAAUAUCAUCUGCAGAUAUGGGAUCCCUUACGCCAUCAUCACAGACAAUGGGAGGCAAUUUGACAACAGCAACUUCAGGAAAUUUUGCCGAAACUUGGGGGUGGACCUGAAGUUCUGUACCCCCGCACACCCCCAGGCAAAUGGACAAGUGGAAGCAGCCAACAAGGUGAUAAAGAAGCUCCUGAAGACUAGAUUGGGAGAGAAUAAGGGAGCUUGGGUUGACGAGCUACCAGGAGUAUUGUGGGCCUAUAGGACAACUCACAAAACCGCCACAGGGGAAACCCCGUUCGCUUUAGCUUUUGGUCAUGAGGCGGUAGUCCCAGCAGAAGUGGGAGUGGGGACACAUCGGACGGAAUAUUUCACUGAGGAGCAAAAUGACGAGCAGAUCUGCUUGAGUCUGGACCUGCUGGAGGAAAAAAGGGAAGGGACAUCGCAGAGAGUGGCCCAGUGUCAACAAAGGGUCAUGCGUUAUUACAACAAGAACGUACGCGUGAGGCAGUUCCGAGCAGGAGAUUGGGUACUUAGGAAGGUGAACCAGAACACCCGGGAUCCUAACCAUGGCGCUCUUGGCCCAAAGUGGGAAGGCCCAUACCGAGUGAUAUGAGCCACUGGACCAGGAGCAUAUAAAUUAGCGUACCAAGACGGACGAGACGUGAAGAGGUCAUGGAACGCCGAACACCUGAAGAAGUAUUUCCAAUAAGCAAAAUGCUCUAUUAAAUCCUCACUCUGGCAAGUUAUUUCUGUUACAAUGCAUGAUGGCCUGUAGCACAUGCAUAUAUUUUGUAUUUUUGUAAUACAUUCAAAUUUCAAUAAAGAUGAAUUCAGAAUGAAAUCCCCUGCUAGCGAGCCCAAUAAGAAAUUUUUUACUAAGGCAAGUAAGUGCCUACUUCUGCUCGGUCAGUGAAAGACUAGCAGCUAAUUUCUUGUAAAAAUUUUACUAAGGCAAGUGAGUGCCUGCUUCUGCUUGGUCAACAGAAGACCAGUAGCUAAUUUACGAGAACUUUACUAAGGCAAGUGAGUGCCUGCUUCUGCUCGGUCAACAGAAGACCAGCAGCUAAUUUAUGAGAACUUUACUAAGGCAAGUGAGUGCCUGCUUCUGCUCGGUCAACAAAAGUCCAGCAGCUAAAGCUUCGAAAAUUCUACUAAGGCAACAAAGUGCCUGUUUCUGCUCGGUCAACGAAAGACCAACAGCUAAAGCUUCGAAAAUUCUACUAAGGCAACAAAGUGCCUACUUCUACUCGGUCAACAGAAGACCAGCAGCUAAUUUACGAGAACUUUACUAAGGCAAGUAAGUGCCUGCUUCUGCUCGGUCAACAAAAGACCAGCAGCUAAUUUACGAGAACUUUACUAAGGCAAGUGAGUGCCUGCUUCUGCUCAGUCAACGAAAGACCAGCAGCUAAAGCUUCGAAAAUUCUACUAAGGCAACAAAGUGCCUGUUUCUGCUCGGUCAACGAAAGACCAGCAGCUAAAGCUUCGAAAAUUCUACUAAGGCAACAAAGUGUCUACUUCUGCUUAGUCAACGAAAAACCAGCAGCUAAAUUUACGAAACCUUGACUAAGGCAAGUAAGUGUCUGCUCCUGCUCGGUCACUGAAGACCAGCAGGCAAUUUUGCAAAAAUUUUACUAAGACAAACGGAUGCCUAUUCCUGUUCGAUGCACUAAAGAACCAACAGGCAAAACCAGACAAGAAAGCCAAUAGAGAGCAUUCAAAAAAUUUUAUAAACGUUCAAAUGUUUACAAAGCAAAUGAAAAACUAGAGUCUUUACAAAAAUAAGACCUAAGGAUUAGGAGGAUCAACGGCCUCAGCAGGUGAAGGGUCAGCUAUCUCGGGAGGUGGAAGGUCAGUAAUAUCGGGAGGUGGAAGGUCAGCAAUAUCGGGAGGAGGAGGCACGGACCUCUGUCCUACUUCAAAAACACGCUGCCCAGCUUCUCCCUCCUGCACCCCAUCCAAAGGAGCCUCCACCUGCUCCUGCUCACCCUGCUCCUUAUCUGCUUGGUCGACCUCUGCCAUAUACCGCUGCACUCCGGCCUCCAGCUUGCUCAUGUCCAGCUCGGGAUAUUCAGUCUUAAGCACAGACAUGAUGCACUUGUAGGAGAAGGCAACCCCAAAAUCAUACUCGGCAUCCAGCCGAUCAUCCACAUCAGCGGAUUUGCCUCUCUCCUCAGUCAGCUGCUCACCCAAGGAUUUGAUUUCCCCCUCAAGGGCGGCCCUCAAAGUAUUCCUUUCAGUUUGAGUAGCUUGAAGAUCAGAUCUCAGGUCACCCAACUCGCCCUCGAGUUUGGAGGAAGUGGAUUCAGCAACCGCAACCUUCUCCUCUAGCUCCGUAAUCUCCUUGUUCAGCUCAGCCAGCUUCUCCUUGGAGCGAUCAACAGAGUCAGCUUUCUUCUUCAAUUCCUGAUUAUCAGCUUGGAGCUUCCUCUCAUGGCGCGCGGACCCAAUCUUAUAGCACGAAACCAUAGUGGCCAACCUGAAGGACACUCUCUGAACAGAAGCAGCUAGCUCGGAGAGGUUCAUACUCUCGAUGUCCUUCACCAUCUUGGGCCCCACCGAUUUCUUGAAAUCCUUCUGAUACGGGCUCAGGUAGUCUGCUUGAUCCCGAGAUGGUAGAGGAGAAGAUCGGUCCCCAGACUGGUGGCUGGCCUCAGGACUCUUGUCAGAAGUUUUCUCCCCGCCACUCUUACGGGGUGGGGGAGGGGGCAGAGCAGGGACAGGAGCCUUGGAAGGGCCGACGCUGGUUUUCUUCGGAGGAGGAGGGGGGUUGCUGGAGCUACUUGGAGCUCGACCACUCUUCCUGCUCAUUGCGCUAAGGAUCGUGUUAUCCAUUCCAACAGCUAGGUCCACUAGGCCCGAACCGACCAGGCUUGUUGGGGACAGGAGGUCUUGGCAGGUAGAAGCGUUAAACAGAGCAGUUUCCACCCAAAGCAAAGGUCGAUCUUCAAGCCCCCCGAUUAAACCCCACGAUUCUGAAAUAGCAAAAGAGGUUAAAGAACUCGAUAAGUGACAAUUUGACUAAGAACAUAGGCAAAAAUGAACGACCUGGGGUGACAAAAUGUGUGGGAAGAUAAAUGUCCCCACCAAGCGACCGAACCGCUGGACACCAAUUCCCUCCAGCAAAGAAGAAUUUGUUCUUCUAAUUUUUACAUGAAGAGGGAAACCCAAUGAUCGGUUUCCUCUUUGCAGAACUGGACAUAAAGUAGUACCAGCCCGCUUCCCUCGGGCUACUCCGCAGCUGGUACAGAUAUUUCACUUCAACAAGGGAAGGCUCCUCCGACCCGCACCUCUCUCACAACACAAACAUUGCCGAGAGAACCCUCCACCCAUUUGGGUGUAGCUGACCUGGGGCUAGGUGCAUAUCGCCCAAUAUCUUGGCAAAAUAACGUUGAAGGGGCAGCCGAGCUCCUAGUCUGAAACUCUCCAAAUGCAUCGUCACAUACCCUUUCGGAGGCCGACUAGGGACAUCACCUUUUCCAGGAACUACAAGAAGAACAUCGUUGGGGAUGUCGUAGAGGUUCCUAAGCUUAAAUAGAUCAGUGGGGGUGGUGGCACAAGCUAUGAAAUCAAUAGGGUAGGAAUCAGCCUCCACCCUAUGGCCAAGAUGCCUUUUUUUAGCAGGUCCGCUCGGUCCGAAACUACUCCCCUCACCAUCACCAGUUCCUUCAGGGAUCCCAACCCCACUAAAGCCGUGGUCCUCACCAGAGCCCGACGCAGGCCCACCUCUAUUCCCUACAAGCUCUAGUUCGGGGGAGGGAGAGACAACCAAGGGUCGUGGGUACUCAAGGGUAUCCUUACCAUGGGAAGGACCUACACUACUGGAGGGGCCUAAGAAAUCUGUGGGUAUUGACACGUUGAGGCCUGAAUCCCCUGAUUCUUCAUCACCCUCGUCAACAAUUAACUUUCUUUUCCGAUUUGACAUAUCAGAAUCCCAAAAGAAAAACAAAGAAAAGAAAGUUUAGGGUUGACAAGGUUUGACUAUCAAUUUCUACUCUUGACUCAUUUCACUCACAAGACCAGAAACUGGGGGACUGGUGUUAAGCGAAUAAAAGCACCAGGUCGGCCAUACUAUUAUUGCCACCCCGGCAUGGAUCACCUCAGCCCUGUGGUACGAGCAGAGCACAGGGGCACACACCAACUAGAUGUUCAUAUCGAACCGAUAUACAUUCCCCAGAAAAGCGGGAACACGAUCCCACAGAAUCACGGCAGUUGUGCUUUGCCCAGAACCGUUGAAGGGCACGGGAGAUCCCACGUUUGCCACAAUGCAACAAUCAGAGCCCCAUGAGGGGCGGCCACCACCCGAAAAAGGGGGGAUAGAGGGUAAGCGGAAAACGUGGGACAAACAGCGGCUAUAAAAGAAGAGGAAAUCGAUGAAGAAAAGGACACUGAAAAAUUGAGAGGGGAAAAUGCUGCCAAAUUACAACCAGACCAUUUUCUUACAAAUUUCGAACAAACUUCUUGAAUCCAAAUUACAUUGUUUUCCCGUAAACACCUUGUACUAACUUAGGCAUUGGAGGGUUUACGCCGGCAAAACCACCGGCGUCUCUUAUCCGUUUUUACUGAACGCAGGUCUAGUGAGAGAAAUGAGGGUGAUUCCAGCCUUAGCGGUUCGUGCAACAGUCGAUAUCUUAAACGUUGGUGAAAGAAUCUGGUCGGUCCAAGGACGAGCAGAUUUCGACAUCAACAAUGGCAACUCCACAAUGAUGAUAAUGAUAAUUUUGUGAUUCAGACACGUUGUUAGGAAUUCUGUAUUGGUUUUUCUCUCGCCUUCGAUGUCUACGAUGAAGCAUAUUAUGGCUUUUAAUCUGCAACUGCUGCAAAAUGGACUCACUAGCUAGCAAAUAAUAAUAUAUAGUGCUGUCAAAUUUAUAAAGAUUAUAUAUACACACACUUUCGUGUUCAAUGCACCGACACUAGAUGUAUAUUGGCAUUUAGAAAAAUUGGCAAUAACUAAUGACUUUCAAGAUUAAUUAAAUGACAAUAUUCAGUCUAUCAUAAAACAAGUUUUCAACAAGUGAAGAGGAGGUACUCUUUAUAAUUGGAUAAUUAAUGCAACCUUCAAUAUUUUCAACCAAAAAAAAAAUGAUAUUUGAUAUGUAUUCAACAUUAGGGAAAAACCUCCCAUAUCGAAGGUUUGCUUAAACGAUCAAAUAAAUCCACUUAGUUUCGUAAAUGGUUGUACAUAUCCUCUUUUUGACUAUUUAUUGGGUUAUGUUUGAGAGUUAGGACUAAGUGUGGGAUUAUACUAACUUUGAGAUUAAAUAUUAUUCUAUAUUUAGCAAUUUUCCUUAGAUUGGAUUAUGAGAGACUAAAUUCUAAGUUAGUUGUUAAAUAAAGGGGAUUGGCAAUACCAAUUUAUAAAUAGAUUUAAAUGGGAUUAGAAUAAGAGGAUAAAAUGUUCAUUUGUAAUAUUUCUUUCAUAUAUAACACCAUCUUUUAUUUAUUACUUCAAAUUUAAUUAAUGAAUUAAUUAUUUUAUUCAUGAUUUACUUGAAAUAUAUUUUUUAUUUUGUUUUUAUAUUCUAAUUAAAUUGGUACUUUAAUUUAAUAAUUUUUUACAUUAAUUGAUUGUACUAAAUUUAAUAAUCACCAAUGUGAUAUUAAAAUAUAAUUAUGAAAAUUAAUAAUACUAGUAAUUAAUUGAUUUUAUAUAUUAUUUGCUAAUUUUUUGAUAAAAUAAAAUAUAUAUCUAAAAUAUCUAAAUAAUCAAAAAGUUUUAUUAAUUUAUAUUUUUUAUUACAAUUAUGACUACCCAUAAGUAAUUUACUGUAUAUUUAAUGUUCUUAUUAAUUAUAUUUAAAUUAAUCUUAAUUAUUAUUCUUAAAUAUUCAUAAAUAGUUUUUUAUUUAAAUAUAAUUUAAUAUUGUCUAAUCCAAUGUUGUACUAAACAUAAGACAGUAGUGUAUAAUCCAACAUAACACUUAGUCCAAUUUAGUCUUGCAUGCCAAAUGUAAUCUUAUACACUUUGAUUACAACAAGCCAAUAAUUGACUUAAAUAAACUUCUAUAAAAUUAUAAGUUAAAAUUAAAAUAGUAUGAUAUAUAAAAUAAGAUAAAAUUUAUAAAUUAUUUUGAAUAUUAGAAAAAUGAUUUUAACAUUAUUAAUUUGUCAUAUUCUUUUACUACUAAUAAAAUUUGUUUGACAAAUUAAUAAUAUUAAAAUAAUUAUACCUAACAUUCACAAUAAUUUAUAAAAUUUAUAUAUUUUGUUAGCAAUUUUUUUAAUUAUGUCUAUAUUAAUAUAAAUCUUAAAGUCAAUUUUUGGAUUAAUAGAUUUUAGUAUAUAUAAUAAUAACUUAAUAUUAAAAAUAAUUUUCAUUACAUACGUUAUUCUAUUAAUUAUCUUAUUGUAAUAUUUUAUUUGUAUCAUAUGAUAUUUAUUAAUUAUUUUUUUAUCUUAUUAGUAUAUUUAUAUUUAUUUGUGUUGUUGUAAUCAAAGGGUAUAGUAACUAAAAAUGUGUUUAUGUGACUAUUUAACCUAAAGGGUCUUUGUGACCAUUUAAGUAAACCUUGGAAAUGUGUGACAAUAGUCAUUCUAAUGACUUUCAAGAUUGAAAGUGAGUCGGAUUAUCAAAUUAUGAAGCAUUAAUACGUAAUGUUUUAUGGUUAUUUUAAGGUUGAAGCUGGUUUAUUCAUUAAACAAGCUUUUAACAAGAGGAGAAAGUUCCCUUUAAAAUUUAAUAAUUAAUACAACCUUCAAUAACAAAAAAGUCAUAUAAUAAGGAUGAUGAUUCUUGUUCACUUGGAUACAUAUAUAUAACCUAUGAUGUGGUAAGCAAGGUAUCAAUUAUGUAUUUCUUGUAUCUGAAAAAAUGAAUAAUCCUUUAACGAAGGUUAUCAUCAAUUGCAGGUUUCUAGUUUGGCUGCUUAGUUUUAGGACUACGAAUUUUACAAUAUCAUAAUUAAAGGAAAGAAUAUAUGCGGUAGUCUUUGCCUGAUCUACUUUCUUCUUCUUAAUUAACCACUUAAAAGGAAAGAAUAUUGUAUACGCAGCGCACUAUAAUACUCUAAUUACCAAUUCUUUAUCUUAUAAUAUAAGUUCAUAGUGAUUAAUUUGCCCUUCUCCAGCAAAAAAACAAAUCCCAUUUCAGCACAUCUACAAGAGCCCUCAUUUCUCUUUGCUCCAGCCAAUUGAUAGCAGAAUCAUCACAGACACCUUGAGCUCCGUCAAUCAUCAUAGACAAUUGGUGACUAGUGGGAGCAUUACAAGGAAGGUACGACGAGUACAAACUGAUAGAUUUGUUUAUAUGAUUCGGCUGUAGUUUUUAUAUAUGGUUAAAUUAUGACAAUAAUCAAGAGAUAAUCAUGUACCUCAUUAGUUUCAUAAAUGUACAUACUAAUUUAUUCCCCUGCUUGCCAGAAUCAAACAUGUAGAAUAAGAUAAAUUUUAAGAUUUAAACUUUUCAAUUCAUUAAAAAUCUAGUGGGAUAUUAAUCGGUAAAACCACUUCGGGGUAGUACAAGAGGUUUGUGGUGCUAACCAAUUUAUGUGAGUGGAGAAAGAAUUAGGCUUUUUUAAUAAAAAUUAAUAAUCAUAAUAAUAAAAGGACAUAAAUUUCAAGAUUUAAAACUUUAGACUUCAUUAGAAGUAAGAGGGGGAUCGUAAAAAAUUUGAAUGUAACUUAUCGAUCGUGGAAUGGAUUUUUUUUUUUUUUUUGUUGCAGCUAUUUACACACCUUUGAACACAUGUUAGGGUGAGGGUAUUUCAAUAUUUUACCCACAUCUCAAUAAAAUAUUUUGAGGUGAUGCUACCACUAAACAACUCAUUAAACUCAUUUACUUAAUACACACACUUCUAAAAUUUAAAAUGCACAAUUUUAUUUUACAAACCCAUUAAUACCUAAAAUACCCUUAUUAAGUUAAAUUAUCACAAUUUCUCUUAUCAUUUUCUUUUCCCAUCAUUUCUCCGUUUCUUCACUCUUUUCUUCUUCAUUUUUGGAGCUUUACCCAUAGCUUUUUUAUUCCAAAUUCUCAAACUUUUUAUUUUAUUUUUUAAUAGCUAUUUUUCCCGUUGAUAUUUCAUGCGUUUAUAUGAUUCAGCUAUAGUUUUAACUUUUAUAUAUGGUCAAGUUAUAACAGUAAUCAAGAGAUAAUCAUGUUCAUCAUAAGUUGCAUAAAUGUACAUACUAAUUUAUUCCUCUACUUGCCAGAACCAUACAUAUAAAAUGAGAUACAUUUUAAGGUUUAAUCUUAGGGUUGGCAAUAAGCUCCGGAUCCAGCCCAGAUCCGCAACAAUCCGGAAGAUCCGGAUCUGGAAAAAUACGGAUCCGCAUGCUAAAAAAUGCGAAUCCAGAUCUUAAAAAUCACAAUCCGUGCGGAUCCGGAUGUAAGUGCAUCCGGAAAACCGAAUAUCUGGAUCCACAAUUUUUUAUAAUUAAAUUAUUUAUUUAAUUAAAUUUCAAUUGAAAAAUAGAUAAAUUAAAUUAUUUAUUUAAAUGUAUAAGCAUAAUUAACUCUCUAGUCUUCAUUAACUUUAAAAAAUAUGUUAAUAAACUAAUAAUAAUUAUAAUAAUUAGAGAAUAUUGUAAUAAAUCGGUUUACCUUACAUUUUUUUUAUGCUUGAUUUAUAUUGUGAAAUUAUUAUUUGUGAAUUUAUGGUGUUGUUGUAUGUUAUUUAUGUUGAAUUGAAGUUAAAUUGUUGAUUCUUAAAUUAUAAUUGAAUUUUAUUUAAUAUUAUUAUGUAAAUUAUUAAAUAAAAUUAUAUUUAAAUUUAUUAUUAUGCAUAUCCGAAUAUCCGGAAUAUCCGUCCGCAAUUUGUGCGGAUGUUAUCCGCAUCCGGAUUCUUAUUUUUUUUUGCGGAUCCGGAUGUCAAAAGUUUAAUCCGGAUCCAGAUGCACUAAGAUCCGGAUCCAGAUCCAAAUUUUGCCAUCCCUAGUUUAAAACUUUGCAAUUCGUUAAAAAUCUUGCGGGAUAUUAACCGAUAAAACCACUUAGGGAUAGUACAAGAGGUUUAUGAUUUCUCAACCCAUUUAUGUGGGUGGAGAGAGAAUCAAGUGUUUUUUUAAAUAAAGAAUAAUUAAUAAUUAAUAAUCAAAUUAAUAAAAAUAAAUAAAUUGUAAGGGGGAUCGUAAAAGUUUUGUAUGUAACAUAUCGGUAGUGGAAAGAAUUUUUUUUGGAGAGGCUAUUUGGCUUGGAACAUAUAUUACAAUACUCUCUUCAUCCACUUCUCAAUAAAAUAUUUUAUUAAAAAAAUUUCCUUAAUUGAAUUAUUGUUUUAGCCAUAUAUUAUGUUCGUUUAUCUCCCUAAAGUUUUUAUUCUUUCACCCUUUUUUCUCUUUUCCUCUGUGUCUCCCCAAUUUUUUUCCAGUCCUAUGGGGUUCUUAUUAAAGCUUCUAUUGAGUAAAAUCUAUAUUAAAAUUUCUUAUAAAAAAAAAAGAAAAAAAGAAUUCGUCUCUUUUAAAAAUUGUCUUUCCUUCCUUUACCCUUGAGUUACUAUUAGAUGUAUAAGCUCAAGAUGAGACUAGUAAUUGGAUUUCCAUUAAAAGUUUUAAUUUCAAAAAAUCAAAAGAUCACCAUACAAAUAUCAAAAGGUCACUAACUUAAUUAUACUGGUAAUAAUUAAGAUAAAUAAAAGACCUACUAUUUCUGUUUGAUGUUAUUAUGAUAAAGAAAGAAAAAAAAGAAAUAGCAAGUUGCUGUAGUUGCAACAAUUGAGGAUAUGCUAAUAAAAGUGUUACAGAGAUAGAUUUAAUUGAUAAAAAUAAGAUUUUAAUAAAAAGUUUUGAGAGAAACAAUUAAUAAAAACUAAUGAUAUUUAUUAAGGGUAUAUUAUGAAUAUUUGUGGCCUUUUUUGAGAUAAUUAAAUAAAUUUUAAGUUGUGAUAAUGUGUUUAUUACAUAAGUGGAUUUAUUCAGUAUUCUAGUGGAUUUAAGUAGUCUCAACUCUCAUAUUAUAAUAAAUUUUUAUAUUGCUACAAUUGCCCUAAUAUAGUGGACAGUAUUAUAUUGUACACAUAAGAAUACUCUAGCACCCAAUUAAAAUUUUUAGUAAAACAUAUAAGAACUCUAAAUGUAAAGAGAAUUCCGUCAAGGUAUUGCAGUAGUAUUUAAUGCUCUUGGCUAGUGUAAACUAUUGUGCCACAUGUAGUAUUUCGAUCCUGACAAGUGCAUUACAAAUAAUGACUCUUAUUUCAGGUCUUUUAGGUACUUUAGAGAUAUAUUAGCUAUGGAGCUAGUAUUAGGUCAUCACGUGCUUCUUUUAAUGAAAGAUGUGGUUCAUUUUUCCCUAUACCAAAGCAUUUUCUGUGGAAUAAUCGUGUCAAAUGCUCAUUUAUCAAGGGCACGUGUGGUGUUGUCAGUAUGAUA